UAUUUUGAAUAUUUUGCAGAGUCCUUUCCAUUUCACGCCCCUCACUUUUCUCUGCACUCUCUCUCUUCCUUCCCUUUCCUCCUUCCUCUGUAAAAAUUGAACGGCGUAUAAAUCGGCGGAUGGAUGCAAUGAAAACUCGGCACAGGGAUUUGUUGGUGCUGCCUCGAAUGAGUAAUUGAGGAGAUGGAGAGUCAACCCGCACCUAGAAGCCUCUCACUAAACCUCCGCCGCCGUUCCUCUCAACAGCCAUCGCCGUCUUCAGGAGUUGAGGAGGUUAUUAGUGUAGACUUCGUUUUUCUCAAGGGUUGAUCUGCAAACUUAGUUGUUGCUUACUAACUUCUGGAGUCCUAGGUUUCCCAUGCUUCAAAUAAGUGAUAACAGUGUUCUUUGUUGCCCGAUUUCUUGAGCUAAGGAGAGAGAACUAUUCCGGUUUUGAAAAAUUAAUUGAAAAAGCCAUAGGGCCGAUCGACUGAAUGAGAGCUUUAUGAGUUGCAAUCUUGUUGAUAUUGGUGCAUAAAAAUGAUUUAGGCAAUAGGAAUAAAGGACUCAUAUCCAAAUUAUCACAUGCCUGACCCUGCAUAAACCACUAGUGAGCCAGUUUGAGCCCCAAAAGACUAAUUUCUUUGUUGAAAAUUUUGAUGUCCUUAUAUCAGCUUACUUAUUAUAUCCAUUUGUUGGCCUAUAUUUUCUUCCCUAGUCACUAACAUUAAAGUGCUAGCACAUUCUUGGGAGGGUAUUAUGGUGGCAAGAAAAAGAUGGAGGUUCUGGACCAUUCAUUAGGUGGUAUUACUGAGAUACAAAGUGAGUGAAAAACUGUCCCUUCAAACGAAAAUAGAAUAAAAAGGCAGCCUUUCAAGAGUAAAAAAAAGCCAAGGCUAAAAAAAAUGGCAGCCUUUCAUAAGUAAAAAAAAGCUAAGGCUAGAAAAAAAUAAAAAGGCAGCCUUUCAUAAGUAAAAAAAGCCAAGGCUAGAAAAAAAAAGGCAGCCUUUCAUGUCUAAAAAAAGCCAAGGCUAGAAAAAAACAACAAAAUAAAAAAGCAGCCUUUCUUGAGUAAAAAAAAAGCCAAGGCUCGAAAAAAAAUAUUGAGCGAAAAAAUAGAAAUGAUAAAAGAAUGCUCAAAAGAAUAAGUUGACAUAUGGUCGAAAAAUCUCAUGUUUGGGGUGUUGAGCUGUAAGAAAUUUGUACGCAGUGAGUGAGAUGUGAAAGACGUUGUGAUGGAUGUGCUAGUAUUUUAAGAAUGGUGGUAAGCUACUUAACCAAAUAUUAUCCCACCUUUACCAAAAGCCCCGUUACAUCCCAAUGAAUAAGACCUUUUGAUUUGUGCAUCAUAUUGACUUGUGAGCAAUGAAUUUUGCUUGAUUUUGGGAGAAAGAUCUUAUGUGCAUAAAAUAAAGAAUAGUCAGAAGAACUUCUCUUUAUGAAUUAGUGACGAUGGUUUGAGACUCCCAGGACACAACAUGAACUUAGAUUGAAGCAUGGGAUGCCUAGUUCUUAGGGAAUUAGUUCGUGUACAAUUCUUGUUCUAAAGUUUUACCCGCGAGUGAAUUCGGGGUUGGCCUAAUUUCCCUACUGAUUCAUAUGGUUUGGCGUGACUUGAGGCAGAGGAUUAUCUAAUAUAUCUUACAGUAUACAAUGGAAUGGAGGGUAGCGUAUUACUGCUCCAAGCCAAUUUUGACCACUUCGAUAUCAAGUGUCUCUCAGUUCAUACUAAAGCCAUCAAUGAAGGACUAUUGCAAAAUCUUUCUGAUGCUCUACGCUUGUCGGUACCUGAUAAAAUUGGAGUUAGUCUUGCUUUGUCUAAAUCUGAAGAUCACGAUACCAGGAUGUGUGGAAAGAAUUUUUGUUUGAGUCAGAUUAAAGUGCUGUGUGCCAAUCCUAUUGCAUUUGAGGCGACUGAGAUAAUUCAACAUAUUCUCGUGUUACUCUUAGUUGAUCUGAAGGCCUCUCUAAGCAUUCAGAUUCACCCUUGCAAAUGUUAUCUCUUGUGAAACUAAGGUGCUUUCCAUGAUAGUUCCUCGUGCAAAAAUAGACUUGAAUUUCUUAGUCAAUCUGAAGGCCGAGGCCCAACUAUGUGGAGAUCACUUCUUCAGCGCUGUUAAAAAUGCUCCGCACUGGUGGACGAGCAAGACCUGGGGGCCGCGGCCCGAUGGGGGCAAGUCGUGUGGCGGCAGGGGGAGACUUAGUUCUUAACUUAGAAGAAGCCGGGGAAAGGGAAUAGAUCAAGUUUCUGAAGGAUGUUCAGGACCUCUCUCCCAGUCACAUUCAACCUUUGGGUUCACUUUUGAAUAUCUUUUUGGAAGCUUGUCCCACUAUUUUAAAGGACUAUACCAUGGAGCCUGAUGAGAAACUUAUACUAAAUGCAGCACAUUUGAUGGUAGCAUUAAGAGGCCCUUGCAUCACAUUUAGGAACCUUUACUUGGUUUAGUAUCAAGCGAGCUCAGAAGGUCACUUCAGGGCUUGGCCGUAGCAAGUGAUUUUCUAGAGCAGUCAUUUCAGCUGGUAACUAAUGAUAAUAUCCUUUGCAUCAAUGGCUUGAUUUCCAUAAUAACCAUUAAGAUAAAAGAGGAAACACAAACAGAGUUGACACUGAUGAAUGGAAUCCAUCCACUGAUACACAUUUCCUCGAUUGAUAACCGCUCUGGAAAUGUUGUGAUACACCCAAAAUUUUAAAUAUUAAUCCAGCAGUUGUGUUAGUCUACGACAGUUUGAUCAACUAUCGCGGGACCAAAUUUUCUAUAGAUUGCAAACUUGAGUUUGCUCGCACUGCUUGCUCAUCUAAAUUCUGCUGCUGUGCUGCGCUAUAAGCAGAACUUGGUCCUUUUUUGAGAUUGCUACUUCAGUGUUGAUCAAGUUUCAGAGAUGUCCACUGUUCUUCAGCAGUGAGAUGUUAUAACUCGUAGGAUUUUUCCGCUAGUACACUUUGAGCUCACACAUAUUUAGGGACUAACCCCGGAGUUGUCUAGGUUCUCGCUUCCAGUAUAGGGGUGUGAUCCUGGUGCCCCCCCUUACUUGCUUUCUACGCAAACCAGUGAGUAUUAUAUCUCCCUUUACAUUUUCUUGUCAUGAGGUUAAUGUUUAGAAUAGUUUUGAGGUGUGGGUGUUUUGCGCGCAUUUUUCUUUUUGUGCUUGUAAUUUAUCCUUAUUGUGCGUGCAUGCAUGGUUUUCUCUCUAUUGAUUAUCACCUGACACUUUUUAUGGGUAAUUAGUAUAGAGUUAGUUUCUCUCAAGGGUUGCUUACUAACUUCUGGAGAACUAAGAUUCCCUAAUUUAAAACACCUAAUUUUUUUAAUAUUUUAACGAUAUGUGAAAAAGAAUUUGUGCUGCUGUUGUACAAGACCAAGUGAAUUUCUUAAAUUAUUUUAAUGAUAUGUGUAAAUGAAAUUGUGUUGCUACUUAUUACAGCAUUAAUACUAGCAGAUAGCUGAUAAAAUUUUUAGUAAAUUCUUGUGUUAAUUUAGUCCAUUGUGUAUGGGUUUGGAAUUAAUAUUGUUUCUACUUUGUCCUUGGUGCAUUUUAACCUUGUUUACAUGCAGUCCAAACCAUUUAUGGGAAAAUUGUUCAACUACUUUCUGUUAGCAGAAAGCACAGAGACAGUGUUGUGCCACUUUUUAUUAUGCUAGCCUUUAUGGUCCUCAAACUCCUGUAAACAACAUCAUUCCUUCAUUCCCUCCCGCUUUGGCUAGCUACUGAUGGAACCUUCUAGUUAUGCAAAGAACCUGGAAAUGCUGCACAUCCUACUAAUGCAAUUCUGUCUUUCGAGCAUCCUGGGACAAACCUUGAUAUUAGAAUGAGUUAUUUUGAUGAUACAAUCUCAUUUCUAUAUGUUUAAACAUAUGUGUGCCUGCUUUAGAUUAUGAAGCACAAGUCCGAAUAGCAGCUGCCGAAAAGGAGUUAAGGAGGAGCUAACUUGUAAAGGAGGCAAGAUGAGAGAAGAAAUGCCUAACCCCCAUCACCUAUUUCCCACGCAAACAAGGGAUUAUUUUGUUUCCCCUCACAUCCUGUCCUUCACAUAAAGGGCAAUGUUAAGAUUAAGAUAUAGGGCGAGUUUGUUUGUGUGCAUGCUUGAUUAUGUGGUUGUAAAUAAUUUGAUUACUUUCACUCUGAUUCGUUGAUUCUGAAGGGUCCUUUCAGUAGUGUUUGUAACAAUGCGAAAAUACUAACGAAAUGUGUUUUUAAAUGGCAGGGCUAUGCCACGGAGCCUGAUGAGAAACUUAUACGAAACGCAACACAUUUGAUGGUAGCAAGGUUGACAGGAAGUGUUGCUAAUUAACUUGUAGGAACCUUUACGUGGUUCUAUAUCAAGCCAACUCAGAAUGUCACUUCAGGGGCUUGGCUAUGCUAGUCGUCUUCUAGAGCUGUCAUUUCAGCAGGAAUCACAAACGGAGUUGACACCGAUGAAUGGAAUCCAUCCAUUGAUACACAACUUCCUCGAUUGAUAACCGCUCUGGAAAUGUUGUGGUUGAGUGUAAGGCUGCGUAGCAAGGAGAACUCAGUCCCGUGUUGAGAGUGCUACUUCAGUGUUGAUAAGUUAUAGAGAUGUCCUCUGAUCUUCAAAAGUGAGGCAAGAAUCGAUCCAUCCAGAGCUCAAAUGCAUUUCCAGAUUGCCCCUCCGCUUCAUUAGUAGGUGGACUUUCCUGGAAAUUUGCAUCUCUACUUCUGACUGAAUGAGUGUUAGCACUGGAAUUGGUGCUAUUCCCCACACACUUGAAAUUUGCUCUGACGAGAUGGAUCCUGUUGAAUCCCAGAUUCCUACAAGCGAUGGUCCACAAACUCUUGAAGAUGACAUAAUUCCUUCAUUCCUUCUUGCUUGGGCCAGCUACUAAUGGAACCUUCCAGUUACACAAAAGAACCUGGAAAUGCUACACAUCCACUAAUGCAACUGUCUUGCGAGCAUCCCGAGACAAAUGUCUCUGAGCCAUUUAUAACCUUUGGUGAUGCAUUGCGUAUGUACCAUACUAUCUCAUAGAAGGAUAAUAUUUCUGAUGAUGACUAUAUAAUUUCAUAAGCUGG
This is a long non-coding RNA of Salvia splendens (bonfire salvia), 5010 nucleotides long. RefSeq lists it as uncharacterized. Lineage: Eukaryota; Viridiplantae; Streptophyta; Magnoliopsida; Lamiales; Lamiaceae. The transcript is spliced from 18 exons. The record is from RefSeq and is a predicted model, not a curated record.